GCGCCUCGCUUACACCGAGGAAAUAUCUGUGAGACCCAGAUCAUUUUGA
RNAcentral lists this transfer RNA (49 nucleotides) under Euphlyctis cf. aloysii Ealo-In2. Its description in RNAcentral is "partial tRNA-Val". The record is from RNAcentral. Lineage: Eukaryota; Metazoa; Chordata; Amphibia; Anura; Dicroglossidae.